CAUUUGGAUCUCCAAUCAUUAUUUAUCAUCUGAGAGAUUCAGAUUUCUCCCUCAGUCUACUUUUGGACGUUCACAAUGUCUGCAUUUUGGAGUCAGAAGAGAAAGCCAUGAGGAGAGGAAAAAGUAACUUCAAUAAACUAUUUAACACAAAGAACUGGAUGGCAGCCGUCAGCCUGAAUGAAUCAUGGAGUGAGAGACUAAGGUGAAUAGUACCUUCAAGGAUCUCCAAGGCUCCAUACAAAGUAGUGCAUGGCUUUCAGAUUCUUCACCAGAGCAAGGGUAUUAAACAAAAGGGCCCCAGGUGUCCCCCUGUAAGCUACCCAAUUAGGGUUAUUAAUUUGUAAAAUUAUUUUAGGGAUUUAAUUAUGUUAUCUUUCUUCAGAGUUCAUUUGUAUUCCCUAAUUUCUGUAAAGGUCUGCUGAAUAUUUA
Homo sapiens (human) is the source of this 429-nucleotide long non-coding RNA. NCBI's taxonomy places the organism in Eukaryota, Metazoa, Chordata, Mammalia, Primates, Hominidae. The record is from Ensembl.